GACGUAGGGCGCGAGCGUUGUCCGGAUUUAUUGGGCGUAAAGAGCUCGUAGGCGGCUUGUCGCGUCGACCGUGAAAACUCACAGCUCAACUGUGAGCUUGCGGCCGAUACGGGCAGGCUAGAGUUCGGUAGGGGAGACUGGAAUUCCUGGUGUAGCGGUGAAAUGCGCAGAUAUCAGGAGGAACACCGGUGGCGAAGGCGGCUCACUGGCCCGGUACUGACGCUGAGGUGCGAAAAGCGUGGGGGAGCAAACAGG
RNAcentral lists this ribosomal RNA (255 nucleotides) under uncultured bacterium. Its description in RNAcentral is "partial 16S ribosomal RNA". It matches the Rfam family "Bacterial small subunit ribosomal RNA", at positions 524 to 776 of the family's 1533-position model. The record is from RNAcentral.